RNAcentral lists this ribosomal RNA (506 nucleotides) under uncultured bacterium. Its description in RNAcentral is "partial 16S ribosomal RNA". It matches the Rfam family "Bacterial small subunit ribosomal RNA", at positions 28 to 523 of the family's 1533-position model. The record is from RNAcentral.
GAUGAACGCUAGCUACAGGCUUAACACAUGCAAGUCGAGGGGUAACGAGAGGGAAGCUUGCUUUCCUUGUCGACGACCGGCGCACGGGUGAGUAACGCGUAUCCAACCUGCCCCCAACUAGGGAAUAACCUUGCGAAAGUAAGACUAAUACCCUAUAAUUUCCUCAGAUGUCAUCUGACGAGGAAUAAAGAUUUAUCGGUUGUGGAUGGGGAUGCGUCUGAUUAGCUUGUUGGCGGGGUAACGGCCCACCAAGGCAACGAUCAGUAGGGGUUCUGAGAGGAAGGUCCCCCACAUUGGAACUGAGACACGGUUCAAACUCCUACGGGAGGCAGCAGUGAGGAAUAUUGGUCAAUGGGCGGAAGCCUGAACCAGCCAAGUAGCGUGCAGGAUGACGGCCCUGUGGGUUGUAAACUGCUUUUAUACAGGAAUAAAGUUAGCCACGUGUGGUUAUUUGUAGGUACUGUAUGAAUAAGGACCGGCUAAUUCCGUGCCAGCCGCCGCUGUAA